This 400-nucleotide ribosomal RNA is filed under the name uncultured bacterium. RNAcentral describes it as "bacterial SSU rRNA". It matches the Rfam family "Bacterial small subunit ribosomal RNA", at positions 29 to 408 of the family's 1533-position model. The record is from RNAcentral.
AACGAACGCUGGCGGCGUGGAUAAGACAUGCAAGUCGAACGGGAAUGAACGGGUAGCAAUAUUCGGACAUUCUAGUGGCGAAAGGGUGCGUAACACGUAGACCAUCUACCUCUAAGUGUGGGAUAGCUCGGCGAAAGCCGGAUUAAUACCGCAUGUGGCUUAGGAACGCAUGUUCCGAAAGUUAAAGCCGGGGACCGUAAGGCCUGGCGCUUGGAGAUGAGUCUGCGGCCUANCAGCUUGUUGGCGGGGUAACGGCCCACCAAGGCUAAGACGGGUAGCUGGUCUGAGAGGACGACCAGCCACACUGGAACUGAGACACGGUCCAGACACCUACGGGUGGCAGCAGUCGAGAAUUUUUCUCAAUGGGCGAAAGCCUGAAGGAGCGACGCCGCGUGGGGGA